GAGCGAGAAUCGCCGAAUCCGACAUGCUCUAGUCGGUACGGGGGACGCAACACCUUGGGGUGAAUCCAAUCUUUGGAGGGGCUACCUUUCAGCCCUAACCCGUCAACUAACCUCGGAGGCGCACCAGAAAGGGGCC
RNAcentral lists this small RNA (136 nucleotides) under Ferroacidibacillus organovorans. RNAcentral's name for it is "Acidibacillus ferrooxidans c-di-AMP sequence". It matches the Rfam family "c-di-AMP riboswitch aptamer (ydaO/yuaA leader)". From Rfam's summary of the family: This family represents a conserved RNA structure found upstream of the ydaO and yuaA genes in Bacillus subtilis and related genes in other bacteria. The ydaO/yuaA element is thought to act as a genetic "off" switch for the ydaO and yuaA genes in its native state. Lineage: Bacteria; Bacillati; Bacillota; Bacilli; Caryophanales; Alicyclobacillaceae. The record is from RNAcentral.